RNAcentral lists this transfer RNA (72 nucleotides) under Bos taurus (domestic cattle). It matches the Rfam family "tRNA". Rfam says of the family: Transfer RNA (tRNA) molecules are approximately 80 nucleotides in length. The record is from Rfam by way of RNAcentral. RNAcentral also lists the same sequence under 2 other names. Lineage: Eukaryota; Metazoa; Chordata; Mammalia; Artiodactyla; Bovidae.
UCCCAAGUGGCUCAGUGGUAAAGAAUCUGCCUGUCAAUGCGGAAGAUUCAGGUUCAAUCCCUGGGUUGGGAA